GAUGAAGAACGCAGCGAAAUGCAAUACGUAAUGUGAAUUGCAGAAUUCAGUGAAUCAUCGAGUCUUUGAACGCACAUUGCGCCCCCUGGUAUUCCGGGGGGCAUGCCUGUCCGAGCGUCAUUGCUGCACUCAAGCACGGCUUGUGUGUUGGGCCUCCGUCCUCCUCCCGGGGGACGGGCCCGAAAGGCAGCGGCGGCACCGCGUCCGGUCCUCGAGCGUAUGGGGCUUCGUCACCCGCUCUUGUAGGCCCGGCCGGCGCUUGCCGACACAUCAAUCUUUUUUCCAGGUUGACCUCGGAUCAGGUAGGGAUACCCGCUGAACUUAAGCAUAUCAAUAAGCGGAGGA
RNAcentral lists this unclassified non-coding RNA (345 nucleotides) under soil metagenome. Its description in RNAcentral is "partial contains 5.8S ribosomal RNA, internal transcribed spacer 2, and large subunit ribosomal RNA". The stretch from base 1 to 120 matches the Rfam family "5.8S ribosomal RNA", at positions 35 to 154 of the family's 154-position model. The record is from RNAcentral.